AGGUUCUUCUGUAAUAUGUUUUCAUGGUGUGGGAAUUAAAGACUUGGUGGUCUAAUACAGCUAAUACAAAGGUUAGCAUCACAGCUUGUCUGUAAGGAUUGAAGCUGGGAGUGGGCAUUGGAGCAGACUUUUAUGAUAACUGUGGCUGCAUAAGAUGGUAGUGUUAUAUAACUGCAACAGUAAAAAAUGUAAUUCAGACUAUUUUUGUGUAUGCUCGAAAAAAUGUUAUAAUUUUUUUACAAAAAAAAAAAAUAUUGUAAAGAUUCUCCAUUUUCAACAAGAUUGGAAGUUGAAGGUUUAUUUAUGAAUUUGGCAUUACAAAAAUUCUUUCUAUUUUCCAUUUAUACUCUUGUCUAGUCAAAACACUUCCAGUAGUUUAAGAAUGGAGAAUCUAAAAAAGAAAGAAAGAAAAAAAAUGUUCAAUUAUUGAAAUGUAUUUUUUUUUGCAAAUUGUAAUGUUUAUAGUUUUGUCAUAUUUUUGUUAUUUUAGGAUUUAAGAUACUUUCAAAUUUUAUAAGUUACUUUGUACAUGUAGUUGAUGCAAUCAAAUCUGCCGAUGUAAAUAUUCUCACUAAAUUUCAUAGCAAAUUUAUUUACUUAUUUGGGUUUUUUUUGGCAAAAAGUUUCAAAAUACCUUUACCAUAGCAAAUGCCUCUCUAGUGUACACAUAGAUGUCAAAAUUUUACAGGAACCUGUGUGAUAUCCAGUAAUGGCGGACAAAUAGGGAUAAGGUGUAUGAUCUGCACUUCAUGUAUCCCCGUACAACCUUUUUUUUCAUGUUAAUUUUAAUAUCUUUAAGAUAGGUGACAAGGGUGCGCUAAUGCAGAGGAAUUUAUGAAGUUAAUAAGUUAGAAAUAUAUUUUUUGCAUUUUUUUGUCAUUUUAGCUGAUUUUGGUUUGUAACCAAGGUGUUAUUUUGAACGAAUAAUUUUACAAAAGGUAUUAUUUGAAGAACAUCUUGAUGAAAUUGGAUUGGUUGUUUUUUUGGUGAUAAACACCUUUUUAACAUAAUUUUAUGUAUUAUUUUGGCUGUAAAUUUUUAUUUGUGGAGACAGCCAGAGUACACGUUGUAGAUGGAUGAGCAAACAGAUGAUAUAUACUUGCUUACUAUCAGUGGGGGAUCCAGAAAUUUUCAUAAGGGGGGGGGGCUCACUGACUGACCUAAUGACCUAAGGGGGCCACUCUAGUCAUGCUUCAGGUGACCUAUAAUUGUUAAUGUCUGUGUCAUUUUGGUCUCUUGUGGACAGUUGUAUCAUUGGCAAUUAUACCACAACUUCUUUUUUAUAUUGUUAAAUAACUAUACUACUUUGAUAUAAAGAAUUGACUUUGAUUAUAAAUUGGGAGGAAUUAUAAAGAAACUUUAUAUAAUAUAAGAGCUUCGGGUGGUUAAUGUUGAAUAAAAUGCAGUUAACUAUUUCCUUGGUGAUCUAAUAAUUUUUUCACAGUUCACUAUACUAAUUUAUUGUCGCCUGCAAAUUUUGUUGCAGAAAGCUCGUCAUAGGGAUAGUGAUCCGGCGGCGGCGGUGUUAGCUCACUUCUUAAAAGCUUUAUAUUUUAGUAGGUAGAAGACCUGGAUGCUUCAUACUGUGUAUAUAGAUGCCUCAUGUUAAGAACUUUCCGUCAGUCACAUGUCCAAUGUCCUUGACCUCAUUUUCAUGGUUCAGUGACUACUUGAAAAAAAAGUUAAGAUUUUUUGUAAUGUUAAAUUCUCUCUUAUUAUAUGUAAUUGGAUAACUAUAUUUGGUAUGUGCGUACCUUGCAAGGUCCUUAUGCCUGUCAGACAAUUUCCACUUGACCUCGACCUCAUUUCAUGGAUCAGUGAACAAGGUUAAGUUUUCGUGGUCAAGUCCAUAUUUCAGAUACUAUAAGCAAUAGGUCUAGUAUAUUCGGUGUAUGGAAGGACAGUAAGGUGUACAUGUCCAACUGGCAGGUGUCAUCUGACCUUGACCUCAUUUUCAUGGUUCAGUGGUUAUAGUUAAGUUUUUGUGUUUUGGUAUGUUUUUCUUAUACUAUAUGCAAUAGGUCUACUAUAAUUGGUGUAUGGAAUGAUUGUAAGGUGUACAUGUCUAGCUGACAGGUGUCAUCUGACCUUGACCUCAUUUUCAUGGUUCAGUGGUCAAAGUUAAGUUUUUUAGUUUUGGUCUAUUUUUCUAAUACUUUAUGCAUAAGGUCAUUUCUUUUUCUAAAUUUUAAUAAAUAACCUUCUUAUUUCUAAUUUUGAAAUAAUGACCCCCUUUUUUUUUGUGUGCUGGUGGUGUUGCCACAGGUUUGUGUAUGCGUCUAGUGUGGUUGGGAGUCAAAGACUCUUACACUGCCGCUGGAUAGCUUAUAUUCAUAGGUGAAAAGAAAGCUGAGUGCGUAAGUCUUUCCUUCCAGUACAUAGCCUCUACACAAACAAGACUUCUACAGUGCCUCCCCGUGACAGCACAUGGUAACUAGGAUCUAGUGUCCUAGGCUUGACUGUAGAGGAUCUCGGAGUAGCAAGGACCCUAGAGAUGAAGUGUGUAGGCCGAUCGACAUGUGGAAAUCACUAGCACUCAUCAACCUUGCCCCAGUUAUGGGUUAAAUAGCUGACUGAAUGAUGGUCGUCAGCCGUGAAAGAAGGAGAAGAAAACUCUUGAUAUAAAAUUUUUGGUAAUGUGUAUUUGACUCAUCAGCAAUUGAUCUAAAGGAAAUAAAGCUUGAGUAAAGAUUCUCUGGUUCUCCAGGUUUGGGAUUGAGAGUUAUGCCAAGAUCCUGUCCAUGUAAAGAAUGAUUAUAUACUGAUUAAUCUCCCAGAUGAGGAACAUCACUACCAGAUCUGCAUCUUUGACAUUCAAAAGACAAGUUAUUCAGCAUAUUUUGAAAAGAGAGUAGGACCUGAAUGUAAAAUAAUACCAACUUUAAGACCAAGCGUGCUAGUUAAUUUAGAAAUCAACUGAAGCAGAAGAAUGAAUUGUGUUGAUCUGAGGAACUUCGAAACACUUAUUGACCAAAAACAAUAUGUAGUAAAGUAAUACAAUUAUGUUAUAAGAGAGAGAGAUAGAAAGAGGGGGAGAGCCAGUUGUAAAGAUUUAUUCUUUAAAACCAGAUACGUUGAUUACAAUCGAAUUUCAUAGGCCUACAGUUCCCCCCUAAAUGGUCUUAGUUAAUACAUGACGUACAUGUAUACUAGAUGUUUAAUGUAAGACUUUGAUGUGACUUGUAAGAACAAUCAGCUGCCAUUGGUUUAACUCUAUUUUUAUGCCCUUCAGUUGGGGGGGGG
Molecule: long non-coding RNA, 3243 nt
Organism: Mytilus trossulus (common blue mussel)
Lineage: Eukaryota; Metazoa; Mollusca; Bivalvia; Mytilida; Mytilidae
Exons: 5
Source: RefSeq, a predicted model, not a curated record